AUGGGUCAUAAUUUUCUGUACCCUACAGUAUGAUAAAAACAUAAAAGUAGAUAUUAGACAUGCAGCAACAGAAGUCAGCCUCCAAAUGAAGUUGGAUUUUGAUACGUAUAACAGGAAAAUUCUCUGUUAGCUUUUCCAUUCUUUUGAAGACAAUUUUCUUAAAACAAAAAUUUAUGGCAAUCAACAUACUAAGAAAAGUAAAAAAGCAACAUCUUGAAAUAUGAAAUCAAUGGGGAUUAUAUUGAAUACUAUGCAGGUAUAAUAACUUACUUCCCAUUGGUAAGUUAAAAA
This 291-nucleotide unclassified non-coding RNA is filed under the name Hevea brasiliensis (rubber tree). The record is from RNAcentral. Lineage: Eukaryota; Viridiplantae; Streptophyta; Magnoliopsida; Malpighiales; Euphorbiaceae.